GGCUGGAGCAGGGCCGCGCUGGGUCCUUGUCCUGGGAGAGGAGGGGAGGGAGGGGACAGACACCCCUCGAGGCACGACCUGUUCCCUGCAGGUUCCUCUCUGAGAGUCAGCGUGAGCUUCCGUGACACAGCAUUGGCCUCUGUGAUGGCGGGUCCCCGAGGGGAGAGUGCCCCACCCUCAGACGUGCGUGCCCAGCGUGCUGAGUGACCAGCCGGGGGCUCUGGGGCAAGAUCCGGGGGACGUCCACAGCCUGCUGAUUUCCCAAAUGGACCUAAAAUCCUCCAAUUCUCUUCAUCCUCUCGUUGACCGCUCCAGUCAAGACGCUGCGUCUGUCUGGCACCCCUGUGGAUGAAAACUGAACACGUUUUGUUGUUGAUCGAUUUCCUUCCUUUCCUUCUGCCUUCUGUCAGCCUGUUGGGCCACUGGAAGGAAGACCACAGACUGGGCAGCUAGCUGACAUCAUUUCUCACAGUUCUGGGGCUGAGGUCCCAGGGCCCCCCUCCGCUUUCCAGCCUCUCUGACCUUCCUUCACUUCUGAAGCACUGUGCUCUGGUCUGCCCCAGGGCCUUGGCACAAGCUGCUUCCUCUGAAACCUCCUACUAUGCAUCUCCUGUCCAAUGUGCAGACCUCGAGGUAACUUAAUGCUCCCUCCCCAGGGACCCUCUCUGAUCUCUCCUCAAUUCCCUCUAAUCUAAAUGCAGUCAACUCAAAUCAAUUCACUUGACUCAAAAACAUGCAGUUAGUGUAACACGAAUUCAAGCCUUUCUCAAGCAGACUCGCUUCCAUGGAGCUCCAUCCCAACCGUCUCAACUUGGGACAAAACGUGUGGCUCGGCACCAGCUAGAUGGAAUUGGAAGGACAAUGACCCACAUUUCAGAAGUUUGUGGACAAGAGCUCUGAAAGAUCCACAAGAUAGCGAGGAGUUUCUGGAAGGAACAGAAUUCAUUCCUGGACUCGGUCCCACUUGGUCAUGGUGCCUCCUUCUUAUGCGUUGUUGAACUCCAUCUGCUCAUGUUUUGUUGAGGAAAUUUGUGUCUAUGCUCAUGGACGCUGGUCCGUACCUUUCUUUUCUUACAACGUUCUGCUGACCUCACGGAAUGGGUUAGGAAGUAUUUCCUCGGCUUCCUGUUUCCGGCAGGAAUGUGAAGAAUUGGUAUAGCUUCUUUCCUAAAAGUCUGAUAGAAUUUACCAGUGAAACAUCUGAACCUGGUGGGUUUUUUGGGGGGGGGUAACAUUAAUCAACUACUGAUUCAAUGUUCUUAAGGGAUACAAGCCAUUCAGGUGAUCUAUUUCUCCUAAUACAUGUUUUGGUAGUUUGUGUCUUUCAAGGAAUUGGUCCACUGAAUUUAAGUUAUCAGAUUUGUGGGCAUAAAGCUGUUCAUGGAAAUUCCUUUGUUUUCCUUUUAAUGCCCAUGAGAUCAAGUAUGAUGGACCCACUUUCAUUUCUGAUACUGGUAAUUUACGUCUUCUCUCUUAUUUUCUUGGUUAGACUAGCUAGAGGUUUUCAAUUCUAUUGAUUUUUUUUUUAAAGAAACUAUUUUUGGUUUCAUUGAUUUUCUCUGUUGGUUUCUACUUCUCAACUUAAUUGAUCUGCUCUAAUACUUUUUUCCUGUUUAAUUUUUAAUUGGCUCUUUUUUCUCUAGUUUCCUAAGGUUGAAAGUAGAUUAUUGAUUUUAGAUAUCUCUUCUUUUCUAAUACAUACAUUAAAUACUAUAAAUUUUCCUCUAAACACUGUAUUCACUGCAUCCCACAAAUUUAGAUGUUACAUUUGUAUUAAAUAAGCUUUUAAAAUCUUAGAGAAGUUUUACGUUUAUAGGAAAGUCACGAAGAUACAAAGAGUUCCCAUAUAUCCCACACCCCAUUUCCUUUCUUUUUAACAUACAUAAAUGUCGCCCGUUUAUUAGUAUUAACGAACCCAUGUUGAUACAUUAUUGUUACCAAAAAUCCACACUUUAUUCAGAUUAUCUUAGUCGUUAACCAAUGUCCUUUUUCUGUUCUAGGAUCCCACAUUAGAGUCAUCAUUAUGUCCCCUUAAGCAUCUCUAGGCUGUGAUGGUUUUUCAGACAUUCCUUGUUUUUGAUGCUGUUGGCAGCUUUGGAGAAUACUGGUCAGGCCUUUUGCACAAUGUCCUUUAAUUUGUCGCAUUAUCAUUUUCAUUUAAAUUGCUUUAACUUUU
Long non-coding RNA from Felis catus (domestic cat), 2176 nucleotides. RefSeq lists it as uncharacterized. The transcript is spliced from 2 exons. The record is from RefSeq and is a predicted model, not a curated record. NCBI's taxonomy places the organism in Eukaryota, Metazoa, Chordata, Mammalia, Carnivora, Felidae.